UUUUCUGCAUUCUUUGAAUUGCUGCAGCUACUGUGCCACAGUUGUAUAUUACUAUAAUUCACUUUCAUGAUCAUGACAAAGAGUUUAUUAUCUUCAUCAAACUCUUGCCUUGCAACCUUGGUUGCAUCCCCUUAAGAUUCCUUCUUGUUCGCAUUUCAUUCUUUCGCAAAAUGACUGAACCGUUAACACUUGUAGCAUUUCUCCUUGCUCUUGUCAAAUCUCUUUCUUUCACCUCUAAAGUUUC
RNAcentral lists this long non-coding RNA (244 nucleotides) under Lathyrus oleraceus (garden pea). RNAcentral's name for it is "Pisum sativum (pea) long non-coding RNA (PSAT_LNC028014)". The record is from RNAcentral. Lineage: Eukaryota; Viridiplantae; Streptophyta; Magnoliopsida; Fabales; Fabaceae.